RNAcentral lists this ribosomal RNA (517 nucleotides) under uncultured bacterium. RNAcentral's name for it is "bacterial SSU rRNA". It matches the Rfam family "Bacterial small subunit ribosomal RNA", at positions 97 to 591 of the family's 1533-position model. The record is from RNAcentral.
GGCGCACGGGUGAGUAACGCGUGGGUAACCUGCCCUAGAGUGGGGGAUAACCAGCCGAAAGGCUGACUAAUCCCGCAUACGACCGGCAGACACAAGUCUGCUGGGGAAAGAUGGCCUCUGCUUGCAAGCUAUCGCUCUUGGAUGGGCCUGCGUUGGAUUAGCUAGUUGGUGAGGUAAUGGCUCACCAAGGCUGCGAUCCAUAGCUGGUUUGAGAGGACGACCAGCCACACUGGAACUGAGACACGGUCCAGACUCCUACGGGAGGCAGCAGUGAGGAAUAUUGCGCAAUGGGGGAAACCCUGACGCAGCGACGCCGUGUGAGCGAUGAAGGCCUUCGGGUCGUAAAGCUCUGUCAGAGGGAAAGAAAGGGCCGGAGGAAUAAUACCCUUCGGCAUUGACGGUACCCUCAGAGGAAGCACCGGCUAACUCCGUGCCAGCAGCCGCGGUAAUACGAAGGGUGCAAGCGUUAAUCGGAAUUACUGGGCGUAAAGCGCGCGUAGGUGGUUCAGCAAGUUGG